Molecule: long non-coding RNA, 215 nt
Filed under: Mytilus galloprovincialis (Mediterranean mussel)
Lineage: Eukaryota; Metazoa; Mollusca; Bivalvia; Mytilida; Mytilidae
Source: RNAcentral
AAAACAUGUGAAACCAAAAUUGACCAUAAGAACCUCAAUAUCUGCUGUUCUAAGCCAAAUACGAUGAUACAAACAACAACGACCAUUUCCUAAUGAUUGAUACGAUAUAAAGUAAGCAUAUAAAUACUCCAAACAACAUGUCAUUAUAUAUUCUAUUAUAAAUCCACCCAGUAACUCGUUUCGUUCAGACGACAGAUUUCCCCAAUCAGCGAACA